UUUAUGGAGAGUUUGAUCCUGGCUCAGGAUGAACGCUGGCGGCGUGCCUAAUACAUGCAAGUCGAGCGAACGGACGAGAAGCUUGCUUCUCUGAUGUUAGCGGCGGACGGGUGAGUAACACGUGGAUAACCUACCUAUAAGACUGGGAUAACUUCGGGAAACCGGAGCUAAUACCGGAUAAUAUUUUGAACCGCAUGGUUCAAAAGUGAAAGACGGUCUUGCUGUCACUUAUAGAUGGAUCCGCGCUGCAUUAGCUAGUUGGUAAGGUAACGGCUUACCAAGGCAACGAUGCAUAGCCGACCUGAGAGGGUGAUCGGCCACACUGGAACUGAGACACGGUCCAGACUCCUACGGGAGGCAGCAGUAGGGAAUCUUCCGCAAUGGGCGAAAGCCUGACGGAGCAACGCCGCGUGAGUGAUGAAGGUCUUCGGAUCGUAAAACUCUGUUAUUAGGGAAGAACAUAUGUGUAAGUAACUGUGCACAUCUUGACGGUACCUAAUCAGAAAGCCACGGCUAACUACGUGCCAGCAGCCGCGGUAAUACGUAGGUGGCAAGCGUUAUCCGGAAUUAUUGGGCGUAAAGCGCGCGUAGGCGGUUUUUUAAGUCUGAUGUGAAAGCCCACGGCUCAACCGUGGAGGGUCAUUGGAAACUGGAAAACUUGAGUGCAGAAGAGGAAAGUGGAAUUCCAUGUGUAGCGGUGAAAUGCGCAGAGAUAUGGAGGAACACCAGUGGCGAAGGCGACUUUCUGGUCUGUAACUGACGCUGAUGUGCGAAAGCGUGGGGAUCAAACAGGAUUAGAUACCCUGGUAGUCCACGCCGUAAACGAUGAGUGCUAAGUGUUAGGGGUUUCCGCCCCUUAGUGCUGCAGCUAACGCAUUAAGCACUCCGCCUGGGGAGUACGACCGCAAGGUUGAAACUCAAAGGAAUUGACGGGGACCCGCACAAGCGGUGGAGCAUGUGGUUUAAUUCGAAGCAACGCGAAGAACCUUACCAAAUCUUGACAUCCUUUGACAACUCUAGAGAUAGAGCCUUCCCCUUCUUCGGGACAAAGUGACAGGUGGUGCAUGGUUGUCGUCAGCUCGUGUCGUGAGAUGUUGGGUUAAGUCCCGCAACGAGCGCAACCCUUAAGCUUAGUUGCCAUCAUUAAGUUGGGCACUCUAAGAUGACUGCCGGUGACAAACCGGAGGAAGGUGGGGAUGACGUCAAAUCAUCAUGCCCCUUAUGAUUUGGGCUACACACGUGCUACAAUGGACAAUACAAAGGGCAGCGAAACCGCGAGGUCAAGCAAAUCCCAUAAAGUUGUUCUCAGUUCGGAUUGUAGUCUGCAACUCGACUACAUGAAGCUGGAAUCGCUAGUAAUCGUAGAUCAGCAUGCUACGGUGAAUACGUUCCCGGGUCUUGUACACACCGCCCGUCACACCACGAGAGUUUGUAACACCCGAAGCCGGUGGAGUAACCUUUUAGGAGCUAGCCGUCGAAGGUGGGACAAAUGAUUGGGGUGAAGUCGUAACAAGGUAGCCGUAUCGGAAGGUGCGGCUGGAUCACCUCCUUUCU
Molecule: ribosomal RNA, 1554 nt
Filed under: Staphylococcus aureus
Lineage: Bacteria; Bacillati; Bacillota; Bacilli; Caryophanales; Staphylococcaceae
Description: 16S ribosomal RNA
Rfam family: Bacterial small subunit ribosomal RNA
Source: RNAcentral